This 23-nucleotide non-coding RNA is filed under the name Mus musculus (house mouse). Lineage: Eukaryota; Metazoa; Chordata; Mammalia; Rodentia; Muridae. The record is from RNAcentral.
UACUAACAGGAACCAAGACCACU